CGCGUAGGCGGCCUUGUCAGUCAGACGUGAAAUCCCCAGGCUUAACCUGGGAACUGCGUCUGAUACUACAAGGCUUGAGUGCGGGAGAGGGAUGUGGAAUUCCAGGUGUAGCGGUGAAAUGCGUAGAUAUCUGGAGGAACACCGGUGGCGAAGGCGGCAUCCUGGACCGACACUGACGCUGAGGCGCGAAAGCUAGGGAGCAAACG
This 206-nucleotide ribosomal RNA is filed under the name uncultured bacterium. RNAcentral describes it as "partial 16S ribosomal RNA". It matches the Rfam family "Bacterial small subunit ribosomal RNA", at positions 568 to 774 of the family's 1533-position model. The record is from RNAcentral.